AGAACGAACGCUGGCGGCAGGCCUAAGUCAUGCAAGUUGAACGGCUGUAGCAAUACAGCAGUAGCGACGGGUGAGGUAAUGUAUGGGAACGUAUCUUCUAUGGGGAAUAUCUUUGGAAACGAAGAGCAAUACCGCAUAAGUCCUACGGGAGAAAGUCGCAAGACGCUAGAUGAGCGGCCCAGUAUUGGAUUAGGCUAGUUGGUUAGGUAAUGGCUGACCAAGGCAACGAUCCAUAGCUGGUCUAAGAGGACGAUCAGCCACAUUGGGACUGAGACACGGCCCAGACUCCUACGGGAGGCAGCAGUCAGGAAUAAUUGGACAAUGGGGGCAACCCUGAUCCAAGCCAUGCCGCGUGAGUGUUAAGGUCUUCGGAUUGUAAAGCUCUUUUGUGUGGGAAAAUGAUGAUGGUACCACAAGAAUAAGCACCGGCUAACUUCGUGCCAGCCGCGGC
RNAcentral lists this ribosomal RNA (451 nucleotides) under uncultured bacterium. RNAcentral describes it as "bacterial SSU rRNA". It matches the Rfam family "Bacterial small subunit ribosomal RNA", at positions 26 to 518 of the family's 1533-position model. The record is from RNAcentral.